AUUGAACGCUGGCGGCAGGCCUAACACAUGCAAGUCGAACGGUAACAAGAAGCAGCUUGCUGCUUCGCUGACGAGUGGCGGACGGGUGAGUAAUGUCUGGGAAACUGCCUGAUGGAGGGGGAUAACUACUGGAAACGGUAGCUAAUACCGCAUAACGUCGCAAGACCAAAGAGGGGGACCUUAGGGCCUCUUGCCAUCGGAUGUGCCCAGAUGGGAUUAGCUAGUAGGUGGGGUAACGGCUCACCUAGGCGACGAUCCCUAGCUGGUCUGAGAGGAUGACCAGCCACACUGGAACUGAGACACGGUCCAGACUCCUACGGGAGGCAGCAGUGGGGAAUAUUGCACAAUGGGCGCAAGCCUGAUGCAGCCAUGCCGCGUGUAUGAAGAAGGCCUUCGGGUUGUAAAGUACUUUCAGCGGGGAGGAAGGGAGUAAAGUUAAUACCUUUGCUCAUUGACGUUACCCGCAGAAGAAGCACCGGCUAACUCCGUG
This 490-nucleotide ribosomal RNA is filed under the name uncultured bacterium. Its description in RNAcentral is "partial 16S ribosomal RNA". It matches the Rfam family "Bacterial small subunit ribosomal RNA", at positions 30 to 507 of the family's 1533-position model. The record is from RNAcentral.